Suricata suricatta (meerkat) is the source of this 1189-nucleotide long non-coding RNA. RefSeq lists it as uncharacterized. The record is from RefSeq and is a predicted model, not a curated record. Lineage: Eukaryota; Metazoa; Chordata; Mammalia; Carnivora; Herpestidae. The transcript has 4 exons.
CAACGGAUUCUGCUGUCCAGCAUCUGUCAGUGAGUGGUCUGUGGCGUCUCUUACAGGGUACAGCGCCGUGAAGUGUGGGAAACCCUCACUCCAGUUUGCUCACAACAAUGGGUGCUCACAGCCCUUCCAACGCAUCGUCCCGUGCCUUGAGAAGGUCUGUCAUGAAGAGGUAAUGCUCUUACGCAAUCAGCCCAGAGACGGGGAGCCUCCGUGAGAGACUAAGGAUUUGUGACACCGUUCCUCAUCUGUGGUCAUCAAUAAUAUUAAAUUAUGUUCCUUAUGCAGCUACCAAAUGAAAUUAAAUGAAUACAAGGUUUUCCAAAAAGAAUCAACAGAGUGGAUAAUCGAACCAAGGAUAGUCAAGAACUCACUAUAUCAAGAACUCCCCUUUUUCAUUUAUUUGUGAACUAUUUACCAAGCACUGCUCUGGUCAAGGCUCUGUGCUCAUCUCUGGGACUCCUGUUUCCAGGAGCUCACACUUUGACAGAAGAUAUAAGUCAUGCAGCUAAGUGACAAGCAUAGCAUAGUAGAGAGUGAUAGUUUUGUGAGAGAAACAGAAAAAAUCGUCUGCCACACCGGGUCAGAGGGGAGAGAGGCUUCAAAGGAAGUUAUGUGUGGCAGCAUGGGAAGUGGGUGUGAAGCAGCGGAUUGAAUUUGGACACUGGGAGGUAAGAAGUAAAUAAAUGGCAGGCAGGGGAAGUGGGGUUCUGCAGAAAGCCAGCUCCCUGCUCUUGGAAAAACUAAACUGAGUGUUAAUUUAGAGUGCUCCUGGUGUGUGCCUAAGACUCUGGGAACUUGAAGGGGAAAAAAAGGCGCACUGCUCACAGAAAUGCAAAUUUUUACCUAUUUCAUAAUGAGUUAAUUAUUGAGACCAUCCCCCUGAUAAAUGUCUUUUGUUUAUCUAACUCAUAUGACAAUAAAACCAGCACAGUAAUUGCCCCUCCCUCCCAUAAACUUGUUGGGGCCUUCUUGUUACUUGAUUAUGCAUUUGAGGAGUAAAACACAUAAUACUACCCUUUAGAAGGAAAACAUAAUUUCCAUUUCAAACAUUUGCUUUGUGUUCAUGCAGUUGGUGGUACACACACACACAUGCACAUUCAUUAGGAUAAUUAUCUCCAACACAAUCUACAUUUCUACAGAAUGUGUUUCAGAAGGGGGAAAAAAGGUCCUAAUAAAUAUAUAUGCUUGA